ACACGUGGGUAACCUGCCUUAUAGUGGGGGAUAGCCUUUCGAAAGGAAGAUUAAUACCGCAUAAGAUUGUAGUAUCGCAUGAUAUAGCAAUUAAAGGAGCAAUUCGCUAUAAGAUGGACCCGCGUCGCAUUAGCUAGUUGGUGAGGUAAUGGCUCACCAAGGCGACGAUGCGUAGCCGACCUGAGAGGGUGAACGGCCACCAUUGGGACUGAGACACGGCCCAGACUCCUACGGGAGGCAGCAUG
RNAcentral lists this ribosomal RNA (245 nucleotides) under uncultured bacterium. RNAcentral describes it as "partial 16S ribosomal RNA". It matches the Rfam family "Bacterial small subunit ribosomal RNA", at positions 113 to 353 of the family's 1533-position model. The record is from RNAcentral.